GGAGGAUUCGCCUAGUGGCCUAGGGCGCACGCUUGGAAAGCGUGUUGGGAGCAAUCCCUCGGGGGUUCGAAUCCCCCAUCCUCCGCCA
This 88-nucleotide transfer RNA is filed under the name Pseudonocardia bannensis. RNAcentral describes it as "tRNA-Ser". It matches the Rfam family "tRNA". Rfam says of the family: Transfer RNA (tRNA) molecules are approximately 80 nucleotides in length. RNAcentral also lists the same sequence under 2 other names. Lineage: Bacteria; Bacillati; Actinomycetota; Actinomycetes; Pseudonocardiales; Pseudonocardiaceae. The record is from RNAcentral.